Molecule: ribosomal RNA, 254 nt
Filed under: uncultured bacterium
Lineage: Bacteria
Description: partial 16S ribosomal RNA
Rfam family: Bacterial small subunit ribosomal RNA
Source: RNAcentral
UACGUAGGGGGCAAGCGUUGUCCGGAUUUAUUGGGCGUAAAGAGCUCGUAGGCGGUUUGGUAAGUCAGGUGUGAAAUCUCCACGCUCAACGUGGAGGGGCCACCUGAUACUGCCAUGACUGGAGUCCGGUAGAGGAGUGUGGAAUUCCAGGUGUAGCGGUGAAAUGCGUAGAUAUCUGGAGGAACACCGGUGGCGAAGGCGGCAUCCUGGACCAACACUGACACUGAUGAGCGAAAGCCAGGGGAGCAAACGGG